AUGGACGAUGUCUGAAGCAGAAGAGUUAAGUGGAAUAUUAUCGCCAACUGUUAGAUUGCUAUGGUAUUAGGAUAUAUCACUAGGUGAAUGACAGUUUUUCAUCAUGUCAACAACAAGCAACCUGCUGAACACAAAUACUUUGAAGAGUAAGAAGAAAUAGAAAGGAUGUUUAUUUCAUGAAGCUAACUGAACUCAUAACUUAUGGGCAUUGGAUUAUUCUAUGACAAAUUGUAAUCUAGACACAUUUACAUAAAAUUGGACUAUCUAACACCUUCUUUCUGUCGAGAUAUGCGUGAUGGAUGUCCUUACGAUCUAGAAAUGUUUCAAGCUGGAAAACAGUUUUAUUUAACAGAAAGGAGGCAUUCUACACUGGUCGUGAAUUUUGGAAUCAGGUAGCAGUAUGUACGUAUCUACAUUUAGAUCCUUGGUGUGGAUAAGUAUCAUAGGCUAUGUUGUGGGCUUUAAACGAUCUAUGUAUGGGGAAUGCGUAAAGACCUGCGGCGAAGCACCGCCACUCCGAGUCUUUUUUAUGGAAAGACAUUGCAUAAGAGAUGAUGAUAACUGUUCAUAUUGUAAGUACUACGGAUGCCCUAUCGUCGAGUGCUUUAAGAAAGGAAGAAAAUUGGUACCUAAUUUAACUCCAGACCGACGUUGUCUGACCUGUGAAGGUCAAUGUGUGUAUGGCGCAGAAAUUUACAAGAAAGGAGACAAAUUCAUGGCGGCGGAUGACCUUAACAGUUGUAAAUGUAUCAAUCACGGGCGUGUAAUUUGCAGCAUGAAGAAAAAAAAGCCAUCUAUCAGGGGAUUCUGUGAUAUUUAAACAUCGAUUAUUUUGGUAAAGAAGAUCAACUUUUUUUGUCUUCUUUAUAACCUUAAUCAAGUUUAAUAUCAAAUGUUCUCGAAACAUUUACUUCAUUUUCUUGUGUAAUUGCAAAUGAUAUUCAUUCACACACUAAACAAAUGACGGUUUAAUAUUUUCCAGCAUUAAUGAGAAAUUUUAGCAAUGUACAAGGCAAAGAUAAAGAAAUGAACAAUUGCUAUUUCUGUAUGAAUUGUAAACAGAACAGAAACAAAUAAAGUGAUUCCUAUUUAUUAUUAA
Molecule: long non-coding RNA, 1099 nt
Organism: Mizuhopecten yessoensis (Yesso scallop)
Lineage: Eukaryota; Metazoa; Mollusca; Bivalvia; Pectinida; Pectinidae
Exons: 4
Source: RefSeq, a predicted model, not a curated record